Molecule: long non-coding RNA, 2277 nt
Organism: Branchiostoma floridae (Florida lancelet)
Lineage: Eukaryota; Metazoa; Chordata; Leptocardii; Amphioxiformes; Branchiostomatidae
Exons: 2
Source: RefSeq, a predicted model, not a curated record
AAAAGCACAGUGUUUGUCCAGUCUGGAAGUAUGUUGUCUUGUGUACGUUUCAGUCUCAUCAGUCCAUAUGAAGUUAAAAGCACAGUGUUUGUCCUGUCAGGAGUUUUGAGGUAUAAUGUGUAUCUGCCAGUCUUUACAACACUGCAAAGUUAUUUGUUUCGCUUUCUAACCUUUACUUUCAUCUAUCAUUGCAGGUGAACCAGCCACUGCAGGAGAAGUGACUACAUGUACCAGCAACUACCAACAGAAACCAACAGAAACCAACAUACACGUAGGAAGUUCUCCAGUGCAGCUCUGCAAUCCUCACACAAGGCCGAGGAGGCAAUUUGUAUGGAGAUGAAGAUUUGAACCUGAAUGGGAGCACCUGCAGCAGCUGGAGAGGGGAGAGAACAUGACAAUUUGAGGCCAUCAGCAGAUAAACAAUGUAUCUUGUACCAAUACAACCUAAACUAUUGAGUAAUUGAGAUGAUGCCUACUGUGCUUAGUGACACUAUGAGCAUGACACUAAAUGAAGCUUCAAGUAUUUAGACUGGAAAAAAACAUUAUGACCAGUUCUGCUUUUCUCAUAAGGAAGACAAUUUGUUAUAUUUCUUGGCCAAUGUAUGUAUGAAGUAGCACAUUCACUGUAUCUGAUCUGAUGUCUUAGUGACAUAGAUAUCCAUUAAUCUUGUCCCAGGGCCAUCUUUGCAGUCGGCAAACAAUCAUCAUCGAGAAAAGGGUUUUAUGAGAAUUGUGUAAUUUAGUAAAGAUGUUCUUAUACUUCAGCACCAAUUCUGCCCUUUAUAUAAGUAGUACUUGUAUGAUGUUUCUACUUUAUGUAGAUGAAUGUAUUAUGGAUUGUAUCUAUGAAAGACUGGGCACGAAAUACUUUUUUCCAAACUUGCACUGGUGCAGGCAGCCGCAGACAUUAUCUGCACAAAUAUACCUGCAUCUCGUAGUACUAAAAUCUGUCAAGAAACCACUGCAUUAAUUCCAACAGUCAAUGCAGCUGGUAAAAAUCUGCAAUGCACCGACAUCAUAGUACAUUGAUAUAAAAACCUAGUAAGGGCAAACAAUGUGUCCCUGGAUCUUUUUCUGAAACAGUUGAGCACCAACUGCUACAAUGCCCCCUGUAUUCUGCCCAAUGCAGAGAACUAAUGUCCACUGUUGAAUGCCUCAUACAGCAAUGUCUUACCGUUUCUUUACUACUCCAAUAGGGGGGUACCAGUACAGAAGUUCAGAUCCUGUUCAGGUCCAGAGGAUCAGGUCCAGGUCUGGACCUGAACCUGGACCUGAUUCAGUGAAUACUCAAAACAAUGGUCCAUUUGUCUGUAAAGAAAUCUAUUUUGCGGUGUAUUCGACUCCCACUGGCGUCUUAAAAUCCUACAAGGCUAACUGCCUCUGUAUGAUUGACUGUAAAACCUGGUAGAAAUGACUAUGUACUCCACUGUACUUCGCUCGUUAUUUUCUUCGACCGGUCAGUCCCAAAAGGUGUGAAUACCUGAUCAUAUGAUCUGUUCAUUUUCCAAUAGGUCCAACACCUGGUCCACCGAAUUUUUUUAGGGUCCGCUCUUUCCGGACGGGUCCAAUAAGAAAAGCCAGUUUUGUACCGGUACACUGUAUCAGUACCCACCCCUAGGCUCCAGGGUGUAUGUGACCUUGUCAUCAAUAGGCAACUUUCCAAUGCACUUCAAGAGUAAGACAUCUACUAAACGAUUACUUCCAGCCGUGCAUCUGUUUAGUUGUAAACUCUUAUCUUAUCAUGCACACAUUCCAGCUGCAAUUGUUUUUAAGUGUAUCAACUAUUUUAUCUUACUUGAUAUUUGUUUGUUUUUAUUGUAUGUGUAUGUGGUUACGAUAUAAGUCUACUGCCUAGUGUCCACAUUGUAUCAUUAUUGUCGCAAUUUGAAUAAAGUCAAAGUAAAACACAAUACAUGGACCAGUGCAGGUUAGGUGCAGGUGGGCAUCAGAAAUUCAGAAUUACCUGCACAUCUGGAAUGUUUCUUGCACUAAGCUGCAUAUGCAGGUGGUAUUUCGAGCCCUGAAAGAGCUAAUGUUUCUGGUUGAACUUUAGCACCUCUUUUUCACUAUAUUUGUUUAAUGUGGUUUUUAAAUAAAGUCAAGGUACUUGUUAUUAAUUUUUUUUUGUUUAACAAAUUUGUCAGUUAAUAAGUUUGUACAUUCCUCGUUAAGUUACACAUGUAAAAAGCUUUAUAGCAAGGUUGAUAUCGUCUGUUGUAACGUGUUUUCUGACAAAGAUGUUUCCAAUGAAUUUAUUAAAUAGAGUAGUUUUGAUUA